CAGGACUCGCAAGACUCCUUAAACCCCUGUGAACUUACUGUUUAUACGUUGCUUCGGCGGGUGCUCCGGGGUCCGCCCCGGGGCGCUGCGCCCGCCGGCAGCCUUCAUAAUUCUGUUUCUCUGCGUUGGCAUCUCGAGUAAGCAAAAUAAGUUA
RNAcentral lists this unclassified non-coding RNA (154 nucleotides) under uncultured Chaetosphaeriaceae. Its description in RNAcentral is "sequence contains ITS1". The record is from RNAcentral. Lineage: Eukaryota; Fungi; Ascomycota; Sordariomycetes; Chaetosphaeriales; Chaetosphaeriaceae.